Molecule: ribosomal RNA, 742 nt
Filed under: uncultured bacterium
Lineage: Bacteria
Description: bacterial SSU rRNA
Rfam family: Bacterial small subunit ribosomal RNA
Source: RNAcentral
AGAGUUUGAUCCUGGCUCAGAACGAACGCUGGCGGCAGGCUUAACACAUGCAAGUCGAACGCACCUUUCGGGGUGAGUGGCAGACGGGUGAGUAACGCGUGGGAACGUGCCCUUCAGUUCGGGAUAACCCAGGGAAACUUGGGCUAAUACCGGAUACGUGCGAGAGCAGAAAGAUUUAUCGCUGAAGGAUCGGCCCGCGUCUGAUUAGCUAGUUGGUGGGGUAAUGGCCCACCAAGGCGACGAUCAGUAGCUGGUCUGAGAGGAUGAUCAGCCACAUUGGGACUGAGACACGGCCCAAACUCCUACGGGAGGCAGCAGUGGGGAAUAUUGGACAAUGGGCGCAAGCCUGAUCCAGCCAUGCCGCGUGAGUGAUGAAGGCCUUAGGGUUGUAAAGCUCUUUCGUCCGGGACGAUAAUGACGGUACCGGAAGAAGAAGCCCCGGCUAACUUCGUGCCAGCAGCCGCGGUAAUACGAAGGGGGCUAGCGUUGUUCGGAAUCACUGGGCGUAAAGGGCGCGUAGGCGGCUUUGUAAGUCGGGGGUGAAAGCCUGUGGCUCAACCACAGAAUUGCCUUCGAUACUGCAUGGCUUGAGACCGGAAGAGGUAAGUGGAACUGCGAGUGUAGAGGUGAAAUUCGUAGAUAUUCGCAAGAACACCAGUGGCGAAGGCGGCUUACUGGUCCGGUUCUGACGCUGAGGCGCGAAAGCGUGGGGAGCAAACAGGAUUAGAUACCCUAGUAGUCC